AGUGAACGCUGGCGGUAGGCCUAACACAUGCAAGUCGAACGGCAGCACAGGAGAGCUUGCUCUCUGGGUGGCGAGUGGCGGACGGGUGAGGAAUACAUCGGAAUCUACUCUGUCGUGGGGGAUAACGUAGGGAAACUUACGCUAAUACCGCAUACGACCUACGGGUGAAAGCAGGGGAUCUUCGGACCUUGCGCGAUUGAAUGAGCCGAUGUCGGAUUAGCUAGUUGGCGGGGUAAAGGCCCACCAAGGCGACGAUCCGUAGCUGGUCUGAGAGGAUGAACAGCCACACUAGAACUGAGGGACGGUCCAGACUCCUACGGGAGGCAGCAGUGGGGAAUAUUGAACAAUGGGCGCAAGCCUGAUCCAGCCAUACCGCGUGGGUGAAGAAGGCCUUCGGGUUGUAAAGCCCUUUUGUUGGGAAAGAAAUCCAGCUGGCUAAUACCCGGUUGGGAUGACGGUACCCAAAGAAUAAGCACCGGCUAACUUCGUGCCAGCCGCCGCCGUAA
RNAcentral lists this ribosomal RNA (506 nucleotides) under uncultured bacterium. Its description in RNAcentral is "partial 16S ribosomal RNA". It matches the Rfam family "Bacterial small subunit ribosomal RNA", at positions 29 to 523 of the family's 1533-position model. The record is from RNAcentral.